AACAUUUAGGAAUCAUUCACUCUUUUCAAAUUUUUUACUAAUCUAAAGUCUCUGCAAUGAAUUGUAGGUAUGAAUCAGAUUUUUGGUAUCCAAUAUUUAGGUAGUAGUAUCACGAUAGAAAAAUUAUAAGGUGUUAUCAUAUAAGUACCUUGUCCAGCAAUCUUUUACUAAUUUCUCUUCCUAGGCCUGUUCGGAUUAAGAAAAGCUAGAUAUAGAGGAUAAUUCCUCUUCCAAUGCCCCAACUUCUUGCAAAAGAAGUAUUCUGCCUAACUCUGAUCUACCUUAGACU
This 289-nucleotide long non-coding RNA is filed under the name Elaeis guineensis (African oil palm). Its description in RNAcentral is "long non-coding RNA (EGUI_LNC042684)". The record is from RNAcentral. Lineage: Eukaryota; Viridiplantae; Streptophyta; Magnoliopsida; Arecales; Arecaceae.